Molecule: ribosomal RNA, 498 nt
Filed under: uncultured bacterium
Lineage: Bacteria
Description: bacterial SSU rRNA
Rfam family: Bacterial small subunit ribosomal RNA
Source: RNAcentral
GAUGAACGCUGGCGGCGUGCUUAACACAUGCAAGUCGAACGAAGCACUUUUCAAGAUCCCUUCGGGGUGAUUGGGAAGUGACUGAGUGGCGGACGGGUGAGUAACGCGUGGGUAACCUGCCUCAUACAGGGGGAUAACAGUCAGAAAUGACUGCUAAUACCGCAUAAGCGCACAGUAUCGCAUGAUACAGUGUGAAAAACUCCGGUGGUAUGAGAUGGACCCGCGUCUGAUUAGCUAGUUGGUAAGGUAACGGCUUACCAAGGCAACGAUCAGUAGCCGGCCUGAGAGGGUGAACGGCCACAUUGGGACUGAGACACGGCCCAGACUCCUACGGGAGGCAGCAGUGGGGAAUAUUGCACAAUGGGGGAAACCCUGAUGCAGCGACGCCGCGUGAAGGAAGAAGUAUUUCGGUAUGUAAACUUCUAUCAGCAGGGAAGAAAAUGACGGUACCUGACUAAGAAGCCCCGGCUAAUUACGUGCCAGCCGCCGCAGUAACAC